GUUCACGCAUGCGCGGUGCAGCCUGCCGCCUCGGUUCGGUCGCUACGCAACCUCUCGCCGCUUUAAAUUUAAGUAUAAUUUCUUACCUAGUGAGUAGGCGACCUUGGUGGGACUGACUCUUCCCAGCUCUCCCGAGAAUGUAACGAUGUUGAACCAGACGAGAACAAUUUCCUUGAGCUUUAACUGCCUGUAACACUAGUUGGAGCCUGUUCUUGACAACACCUACAGUUGAGCAUCAAAGCAGCCUGAUAGCUACUGCUGUGUAAUUUGUAAGUUUUACUGCUUAAUUCAACAAACAUUUACUUUGCUAAAAGUAGUGUUGCACGCAUUGGAGAUAUAAUGAAAAGCGACCUAGACGAGAUCCCUAAAUUCUUGUUACUGUAAAGUGAGGUUGAAAAAUUCUCACCCCAUGCAUUUAAAUUCAAAAAGAAAAAAAGGGGAAAAAAAAGUCAUGUGGGUUGUCUAAAAAUAAACUGCAUUUAAAUUCAAUAAAGAAAGAAAGAAAAAGAAAAAUCCUUACCCAAGUGGUCGCAGUGAAGACUAAAUGAGAUGUCCCUGGUGCCCCACCCAAUUCCUAGGGGCUUUUGCCUAAGGCUUGACAGGGUCUGUCACACUGCAAGUGCUUAAUAAAUGUUUGUCCAAAAGCCAGGGGAAUCAGCACCUGUCACCUCUGUAUCAUUCUUAUCUGUCUAGGGGCAAGCCUGAUUUUAAGCAUUGAGGAUUCAGGACAAACUUUACCCUUUGACCCAGUUAAACAGGCAGAUGGGAGAAGUGUUUUUGCUGACUUGGGCAAUAGAAACCAUAUAUCCUGUUGUUGGAGUCCCAAGAUGAUAAAGAGCUUUGUCAGGGGCACCUCCUGGUGGAUCACUGAACCCAGACACCAGCCCAUGGCUUCUGACUCCCUGUGUUUCUGUGCCCAGAAGAAGUUGGGCGCAAAGGGUUUCAACGUGUACAUAUUUUAUGGAGGGUGUGUUUCAAACUGGCCCCUGGAACAACUGAUGUGUUUUAGCAAAUUAGAAGUAACAUCUGGGGCUGGCGAGAUGACUCAGUGGUUAAGAGCACCAACUGAUCUUCCAAAGGUCCUGAGUUCAAACCCCAGCAACCACAUGGUGGCUCACAACCAUCCAUAACGAAAUCUGAUGCCCUCUUCUGGAGUAUCUGAGGACAGCUACAGUGUACUUACUGUAAUAUAAUAAGUAAAUAAAUACAUAAUAAAUAAACAAAUAAAUAAAUAGAAAAAUAGAAG
RNAcentral lists this long non-coding RNA (1246 nucleotides) under Mus musculus (house mouse). Its description in RNAcentral is "RIKEN cDNA 4921507G05 gene". Lineage: Eukaryota; Metazoa; Chordata; Mammalia; Rodentia; Muridae. The record is from RNAcentral.